GCGGGUCAAGCAGGCCGCUGUCACAUUCACUCAGGAUGUCUCUCUCUGGAGGUGCUUCUGGCUGCAGAAUUGUUUUCAAAACAGAAGAACGUUCUGAAUUCCGCCUUCCCCCACUCCCCUCUGUCAAUCUAUUGAUUAUGUGUGGAAUGAACUAGAGAACUCAACUAGGAGAUGAAGAAAAACCCUCAGAAACCUCAAGGCCAAGAGGACGUGGUGGAGGCCAACUUGGGGGUUGCAGGACAUCACCCACCUACCCACGAGAUGAUCCAUUAAUAGCUCGGUGGUUCUCACACCUGAGCAGGCAUUGGCGCUACCUGAAGCUGAGAUGAAACCCAAAUGGCUGAGUGCCGCACCUACAGUGUCUGAUUCAAAAAAUCUCUCUGGCUGCUGCCAGGAGGCUGCAGUGUAGGAGACUGAGCAUGGAAGCCCCAGCCCAGCCCUGCCCAGUUAGGAAGCAACUAUUGUAUUCAGCAAACCCUGCUGGCUCUAACGAGAAGUAUCAUCCUGAGUGCAUCACCAUCACUUCUCACCUCCAUGGCCUCUCAUUAUGCACUCUCUGCCUCUACUCUUGCCUUCCUGGAGCCGUUCUCCAGCCGUUAGCCAAAUGGGUCCUUUCAAAGUGCUGCUUAUGGAUUAGUGCUUUGGGCAGCUGCACAGAUAACCCACCUUUUGAUCUGGGUCCGCUUGGCACAAGAUACAAUAAAUGUCACGAUAAAUGUCAGCCAGGAUUACAAUGCUUCCUUCACAAACCUUAGCACAGACGGUUUCAAUAAAGAUUGCUUGAUUAACUUUUUUCUUCUAAUUCAAUGCCAUUUUAAUCAUGUGCCUACUUUUUGCUUAA
Long non-coding RNA from Gorilla gorilla gorilla (western lowland gorilla), 841 nucleotides. RefSeq lists it as uncharacterized. Lineage: Eukaryota; Metazoa; Chordata; Mammalia; Primates; Hominidae. The transcript has 3 exons. The record is from RefSeq and is a predicted model, not a curated record.